Molecule: long non-coding RNA, 183 nt
Organism: Dermacentor albipictus
Lineage: Eukaryota; Metazoa; Arthropoda; Arachnida; Ixodida; Ixodidae
Source: RefSeq, a predicted model, not a curated record
UCUACUGCGAGUGAUGCGUUACUUUGCUGAGAGGAAGCAACCUAAUUGUGUUCGGUGCUGGUGAAGUCUUGCCUCGGAGUGCAGCUGUGUUAUUCUCAUCACCGAAGUUUUCCACAGAACGUUACCGCAGAGCUGUCAUUCACGCUUAACUGCCUGCUAACUGGCAUGAACUUCUUGCAGAAG